UUUAUCAAAAACAUGUCUCUUUGAAUUUUUUAAUAAAGAGUUGGGCCUGCUCGGUGAUUAAUAUUUAACAGCUGCGGUAUUAUAACUGUACUAAGGUAGCAUAAUAAUUUGCUCUAUAAAUUGGGGCUAGAAUGAAUGGUUUGACGAAAAUUUGACUGUCUCUAUUUUAUUUAUUAGAAAUUAAUUUUUGUAGUGAGAAAGCUUAAAUUGUUUAAAGGGACGAAAAGACCCUAUUGAGCUUAUAUUAUUUUAUAAAUUAUAUGAUUGUUGUUUAUUUAGAAUAAUUUUGAUUGGGGUGAUCAAGGAAUAAGAUUGUUUAAAUUAACUUCCUUAAUUAAUUUGUUUUGUGGAAAAAUAAACCAAAUUUUUUGCUUAGAAGAUAAGUUACCAUAGGGAUAACAGCGUAAUUUUUUUUGAGAGUUCAUAUUGAAAAAAGAGAUUGCGACCUCGAUGUUGGAUUAAAUUAACCUUAAGGUGAAGAGGCUUUAUUAGG
This 493-nucleotide ribosomal RNA is filed under the name Octopus insularis. RNAcentral describes it as "partial 16S ribosomal RNA". It matches the Rfam family "Bacterial large subunit ribosomal RNA", at positions 1803 to 2571 of the family's 2925-position model. The record is from RNAcentral. Lineage: Eukaryota; Metazoa; Mollusca; Cephalopoda; Octopoda; Octopodidae.